Molecule: ribosomal RNA, 446 nt
Filed under: uncultured bacterium
Lineage: Bacteria
Description: partial 16S ribosomal RNA
Rfam family: Bacterial small subunit ribosomal RNA
Source: RNAcentral
CCUACGGGAGGCAGCAGUAGGGAAUCUUCGGCAAUGGGGGGAACCCUGCCCGAGCACCGCCGCGGGAACGAAGAAGUUAUUCUUAAUGUAAGGUUCUUUUAACAGGGAAGAAAGAGAAAUUUGACGGUACCUGACGAAUAAGCUCCGGCUAACUACGUGCCAGCAGCCGCGGUAAUACGUAGGGAGCGAGCGUUAUCCGGAAUUAUUGGGCGAAAGGGGUGCGUAGAUGGCAUAGUAAGUCUUUUGUAAAAAUGCUGGGCUCAACCCAGUAGGGCAAAAGAUACUGCAAAGCUAGAGUAUGACAGAGGCAAGUGGAACUACAUGUGUAGCGGUAAAAUGCGUAAAUAUAUGUAAGAACACCAGUGGCGAAGGCGGCUUGCUGGGUCGAUACUGACAUUGAGGCACGAAAGCGUGGGGAGCAAACAGGAUUAGAUACCCCAGUAGUC